This 83-nucleotide transfer RNA is filed under the name bacterium. RNAcentral's name for it is "tRNA-Tyr". It matches the Rfam family "tRNA". Rfam says of the family: Transfer RNA (tRNA) molecules are approximately 80 nucleotides in length. Their secondary structure includes four short double-helical elements and three loops (D, anti-codon, and T loops). The record is from RNAcentral.
GCCGGUAUACUCAAGCGGUCAACGAGGGCAGACUGUAAAUCUGCUGACAUUUGUCUACGGGGGUUCGAGUCCCUCUGCCGGCA